UGGGUGGGGGGGCUUUGUGCGCGGCGGCAGCGGCGGCGGGAGCGGGCGGCGGCGGCCAGGACGGAGGCGGAGGCGGAGGGGGACUGUCCACUGGUAGCCGCGGAGAGGCGUACGAGACCGAGUCGAACCCCACGGACCAGGACCCUGCUGUCCCGGCCCGGCCGCCAGCCACGGGCUGGUCUCUGGCAGCUGCAGCUGCGCGGCGACCCCCAUCCCUUCGGCUCCCCAGCCCACCCCACCGCCCACAGUCUUCCUACUCUCGCUGCGCGCCCAGCCCAGCCUGGCCCGGCCGUGGCCCUCCUCGGUGCCGGCCGCCAUGGCAGAGGCGUCCGGCGCGGGGGAAAUCUAGCCCGGGGAUUUCAUGCGGCCUAGUUUGGUUCCGCCUCCUCCUCCCGCGGCCCCGGCGGCUGCCCGCACCCCAGCCCCACUCCGGGCCUCCGUGUCUCUCCUGUGAUCGUACUGACACGGCCGGGGGGUUAGAAUGGAACAAGCUGAAGGCCCGAUGAGAGAAAGGGAAAGUUAAGGAUGCUGGAGCAGAACAAUGGAUUUCUCUUUCUCUUUCAUGCAAGGGAUCAUGGGAAACACAAUUCAGCAACCACCUCAACUCAUUGACUCCGCCAACAUCCGUCAGGAGGAUGCCUUUGACAACAACAGUGACAUUGUUGAAGAUGGUGGCCAGACACCAUACGAAGCUACCUUGCAGCAAGGCUUUCAGUACCCACCUACAACAGAAGAUCUUCCUCCACUCACAAAUGGCUAUCCACCAUCAAUCAGCAUGUACGAAACUCAGACCAAAUACCAGUCAUAUAAUCAGUAUCCCAAUGGGUCAGCCAAUGGCUUUGGUGCAGUUAGAAACUUUAGCCCCACUGACUAUUACCAUUCAGAAAUUCCCAACACAAGACCACAUGAAAUUCUGGAAAAAUCUUCUCCUCCACAGCCACCUCCUCCUCCUUCGGUACCACAGACUGUGAUUCCAAAGAAGACUGGCUCACCUGAAAUUAAACUAAAAAUAACCAAAACUAUCCAGAAUGGCAGGGAAUUGUUUGAGUCUUCCCUUUGUGGAGACCUUUUAAAUGAAGUACAGGCAAGUGAGCACACAAAGUCAAAGCAUGAAAGCAGAAAAGAAAAGAGGAAAAAAAGCAACAAGCAUGACUCAUCUAGAUCUGAAGAGCGCAAGUCACACAAAAUUCCCAAAUUAGAACCAGAGGAACAAAGUAGACCAAAUGAGAGGGUUGACACUGUAUCAGAAAAACCACGGGAAGACCCAGCACUGAAAGAGGAGCCCCCGGUUCAGCCAGUAUUAUCUUCUGUUCCAACGACAGAAGCGUCCACUGGUGUUAAGUUCCAGGUUGGCGAUCUUGUUUGGUCUAAGGUGGGAACCUAUCCUUGGUGGCCUUGUAUGGUUUCAAGUGACCCCCAGCUGGAGGUCCACACCAAAAUUAACACAAGAGGUGCCCGGGAAUAUCACGUCCAAUUUUUUAGCAACCAGCCAGAGAGGGCGUGGGUUCAUGAGAAGCGGGUCCGAGAGUAUAAAGGUCAUAAACAGUAUGAGGAGCUCCUGGCUGAGGCGACCAGACAAGCCAGCAAUCACUCUGAGAAACAGAAGAUCCGGAAACCCCGGCCUCAGAGGGAACGUGCCCAGUGGGAUAUCGGCAUUGCCCAUGCAGAGAAAGCGCUGAAAAUGACCCGGGAGGAGAGGAUAGAACAGUAUACUUUCAUCUAUAUUGACAAACAGCCUGAGGAGGCUUUGUCCCAAGCAAAAAAGAAUGUUGCCUCCAAAGCUGACGUUAAAAAAAUCCGAAGACCAAGAUCCGUGCUGAAUACUCAGCCAGAACAGACCAAUGCAGGGGAGGUGGCCUCCUCACUAUCAAGUACUGAAAUUCGGAGACAAAGCCAGAGGCGGCACACGAGCGUGGAAGAGGAGGAACCACCUCCUGUUAAAAUAGCCUGGAAGACGGCAGCAGCAAGGAAGUCCUUACCAGCUUCCAUUACGAUGCACAAAGGGAGCCUGGAUUUGCAGAAGUGUAACAUGUCACCAGUUGUGAAAAUUGAACAAGUGUUUGCUCUUCAGAAUGCUACCGGAGAUGGGAAAUUUAUUGAUCAAUUUGUUUAUUCAACGAAGGGAAUUGGUAACAAAACGGAGAUAAGUGUCAGGGGACAAGACAGACUUAUAAUUUCUACACCAAACCAGAGAAAUGAAAAGGCAACUCAGAAUAUGUCAUCUCCUGAAGCAACAUCUGGUCCUACAGGCUCAGUAGAAAAGAAGCAACAGAGAAGAUCAAUUAGAACUCGUUCUGAAUCAGAGAAAUCCACUGAGGUUGUGCCAAAGAAGAAGAUCAAAAAGGAGCAGGUUGAAACAGUUCCUCAGGCUACGGUGAAGACUGGAUUACAAAAAGGGUCGGCGGACCGGGGAGUGCAGGGCUCUGUCAGAUUCAGUGACAGCUCCGUCUCCGCAGCGAUUGAGGAAACUGUGGACUGAGAUUCCUGUACAAUUUCAUCCCAGAAACUCCAGACUUGGAGUCUCCAUGCAAGAUUUCUUUGUCGGCGGCUUGCUAAACAGUCUCUUUGUUUUCAAUUUUGAUUUUGCCAAUCAUCAUGGCAUAUUCCUGCCUGGUUUCUUCUUCAAGACUCUGAACAAUUGCUUUAACAUUCAGAUGAUUUUUUUUUCCGGUCUGAGCUGGAUGGGUACAGCUUAAAUCAUGGGUCCAGCCUAAAAACCACCGUUUAACUUAGACUGAUCAAUUUCAACAUGGACUGUUUUUGGUUUUUUUUGGUUUUUGUUUUUAAAUAAAGCAUCAUUAAUGCACAUCUGCAGGGUUUUGCCAAACAGCCCAAACUGUAUACAUUACAAUCAUUAAAAGCUCUUAUUUUUUUUUAACGUUAGUGCCGUUAUCAUGGAGAACAGCGUGGCAGCUGCCUCUGGCAGUCUGUCCUUUUUCUAGCAUUUUCAGAAACUCAUCGGAAAUGGCAGUACCUGUGUUUCCCUUCGAAAGCCUCUCAGUACAGCACUCCUGUUCCUCUGUUAAAACUCCUUGUUAAUCCAGUGAUCUUUUAGGCCAAGGAAAUAUUUUGUGGUGGUGUUCUGGGUCCAUACACCAGCAAUGAAGGAGAUAGAUUUGUGUACUUGUGUUUUUUAAUCAGCGUUCACACGGGCAGGCACCCUCAUUGAUAGAUGUAAGGCAACAUUCAUUGACAACCUUGUAGGAUGGGAUGUGAUAACGAGGUUCCAGUAAUCUGAGCAGUCUAACGAGGCCCACAUCCUCCACCACAGAGCAUGGCCACACACCAAGUGCUGCUCCCACUCGGCCUUUGCGGAUCUUCAUGGCCUCGGGAGACCUGUUCCUCCAGGGUCUCUUCUGGACUGCACACUUCCACCAUAGCUUGCUGGGCUGGUCUAGAUGUCUGUUUGUUGUAUGGAAAUUUUGGGGGAAAACAAAAAUCCAAAACACAAACUGUGGGUUGAAAUGUUAACGUCUCCUUGGUUCCUUGGUACUCACCGUGCCUGAUCUGCACACUUCAUCGUGGCUGUUUCUGUAUAGCCUAUACUGCAUUAGCCCAAGAGAUUGUUGCUUUGUAACUUUUUGCACUAUUGUUUUGGCUGGAUUUGUAUUACACACAGUUUUAAAAAAAAAAAAAAAUUCCACACUAUUCUCUGCCUUUUUUUUUUUUUUUUUUUUUUUUCAUAUUUAUUUCUUCCCGCACCAGUUCCACAUAGAGGCCUCUCAUCCAGCUCUUCAUGACUUGGCUGCACUUGAACAUUGAUUGUCUGUUUACAGCCCUCAGCACUGUGCCUCCUAGAUGGCAUGACAUAGGUAGCUGUCUGCAGCACUUGUAACGGUCACCAUAAUGCCCUUCACCGAGGAAGGCUCAGAUGAACAAUUAUGAACAUCCAGGAUUUAUUUGGGGGGUGAUAAUCAACUGAAUUGCAAAAUUUGGGGGAAAAUGGCACUAUCCGUGUACGAAUCGAAUACAAAUCAAAGAUUUGUCACAUCCCUAAUAAAAACAAGAUGGAGGUGUCUCUGCGACCAUAUUUGUAAGCUACACAUUGUGUCGGGUUUUAUGUCUCCCCCUCCAAAUUGAAUGGUUCUUUGGAUUGCUCCAAAUCGAUCCACUGUCCUGCACUUUUGCUAGAAUUGUUUUUUAGGUUGGAACUUGGGCUCUGCUGCCCGAAAAUAGCUUUAGAGCAGGAGCACUGAAUUAAAUGUUUUACAAGAGCGGUUAUAAAUUAAAUCACUCACCAUCAGGAAGGUCAGAAGCUCAUGAAGUUUUGACUCCUGACUUCAGUGUUACAAAGAGAGCUGUGCGUUUUUUUACACUACAGAUGAGUUUGGGGAAAGAAAAUAUUCUCCCACAAAAAAAAAAAACUAAAACAACAAACUCUAAGCACUAUUUUAGGAUUAAUUUCGGUGUGUUGUAUUAAGGUGCCAGCGAGAUUUCAGAUUCCUGUAAACCACUAAAGAAAAGAAGCCGCGCCUCAACUGAUGUAGAAAUGGCUAGUUCAGCAUACAGAGACACGUCUGACUCCGAUUCCAGAGGCCUGAGCGACCUGCAGGUAGGCUUUGGGAAGCAAGUAGAUAGCCCUUCAGCCACUGCAGAUGCAGACGUUUCUGACGUGCAGUCCAUAGAUUCAAGUUUGUCAAGAAGAGGCAUCGGAACGUGUAAGAAGGACACUGUGUGUCAGAUCUGUGAAAGCCCCAGCGACUCUCUGAUUCCCUGUGAGGGAGAGUGCUGCAAACACUUCCACCUGGAGUGCCUGGGAUUGACAUCACUCCCUGAUGGAAAGUUCGUCUGCGUCGAAUGUAAAACUGGACAGCACCCAUGUUUUUCAUGUAAAGUGUCUGGCACAGAUGUGAAGCGUUGCUCUGUUGGUGCUUGUGGGAAAUUUUACCAUGAAGCCUGUGUCCGCAAAUUCCCCACUGCCAUCUUUGAAUCAAAAGGAUUCCGCUGUCCCCAGCACUGCUGCUCUGCCUGCUCUAUGGAGAAAGAUAUCCACAAAGCAAGUAAAGGUCGCAUGAUGAGAUGUUUGAGGUGUCCAGUAGCGUAUCACUCUGGAGAUGCCUGCAUUGCUGCCGGCAGCAUAUUUGUGUCUUCCUGCAUUCUCAUCUGUAGUAAUCAUUCCAAACGGAGCAGUAACUCUUCCUCUGCUGUAAAUGUAGGCUUUUGUUUCGUUUGUGCAAGAGGGCUGAUAGUUCAGGACCAUUCAGACCCCAUGUUCAGUUCCUAUGCCUAUAAGUCCCACUACCUACUGAAUGAAUCAAACCGUGCAGAGUUGAUGAAAUUACCUAUGAUUCCUUCUUCGUCAGCUUCCAAAAAGAAAUGUGAGAAAGGUGGAAGACUGCUCUGCUGUGAGUCAUGUCCCGCUUCCUUCCACCCGGAGUGCCUGAGCAUAGAGAUGCCAGAAGGCUGCUGGAACUGCAAUGACUGUAAAGCUGGCAAGAAACUGCAUUACAAGCAGAUUGUCUGGGUCAAAUUGGGGAAUUACAGGUGGUGGCCGGCAGAGAUCUGCAACCCCCGUUCUGUGCCGCUCAACAUCCAGGGCCUCAAGCACGACCUGGGGGACUUCCCAGUGUUCUUCUUUGGGUCUCACGACUACUACUGGGUGCAUCAGGGACGAGUAUUCCCUUACGUCGAAGGAGACAAAAGCUUUGCUGAGGGACAGACUAGUAUUAACAAGACCUUCAAAAAAGCACUGGAAGAAGCUGCAAAACGUUUCCAGGAAUUGAAAGCACAAAGAGAAAGUAAAGAAGCACUUGAGACUGAAAAAAACUCAAGAAAACCCCCUCCUUACAAACACAUCAAAGCUAACAAGGUAAUAGGAAAAGUACAGAUCCAGGUUGCAGACCUGUCGGAGAUUCCCCGCUGUAACUGCAAGCCCGCCGACGAGAACCCCUGCGGCUUGGAGUCUGAGUGCCUGAACAGAAUGCUGCAGUACGAGUGUCACCCGCAGGUGUGCCCGGCGGGGGAGCGCUGCCAGAACCAGUGCUUCACCAAGAGGCUCUACCCUGAUGCCGAGAUCAUCAAGACAGAGCGCAGAGGCUGGGGCCUCAGGACCAAAAGGAGCAUUAAGAAGGGUGAAUUUGUAAAUGAAUAUGUCGGUGAAUUAAUUGAUGAAGAAGAAUGCAGAUUGCGAAUCAAGCGAGCCCACGAGAACAGUGUAACUAAUUUUUAUAUGUUAACUGUUACCAAGGUAAAAUUGCUUUUUUGUUUUUGGUAAGAAAAAAGGAUUUUUUGGUUUAGUUCCAUGGCUUUAGGUUGAACUCGGUUUCCUUCCUCUAAUUUGAUUUUUUUUCAGGCAAAUUAGAUUGGUUUGCAAUAGCCAGUACGCUACCCAUUAUAACACACUCAUCAUAGCAGAGUAUACAAGUGAAUGAUUAUUGGAACGUUGCCCAGGUCCUGUGUGACAGCACUGUGAGUGAGAAUAGGAACAGCCAGGAACAGGGUUAACACACUUGGAUUUUAGUCCCAGCUCUUAGACUCUGAAAGACCUGGCCCUCAGUUUCUUUAUCCCCCACGGAGAGGGUCAGCUCUGUAGUCUCACUUAUAAACCACCAUUAAAGUUCUACUCUAGCAAAAGUCCUAACGUGAAAUUGUUCUGUAUAUCUAAACUUUUUUUAUGAGUUAGAAGGAAUGAACGCUGUCAUAAGAAAACGACAGUAAAGCUUCUGGAUUAAUACGUGCAACUGUAAGUGCUGCUGGAUGCAUGUUAUAGCAAAACUGUGUCAUUUGAUUUCUUCAACAGUCCUCUGAUUCACAGAGGACAGGAAACUGAGGUCCAGCCGUCCUAAGUGAUUUGUUGACUGUAUUGGGACAGUUUAAUGCAGAGUGAAGACUAGUACCCAUGUUUCCUGUGCUCCAUCCGGGCUGUCUCUAAAACUGAGUCAGAGUAUCAUUAAAAUUAAGAGUUGGAGACCAUUUAAAAAAAGCAUUAUUUUAACUGAUAUGUCAUUGUUUGAAAGCUUUACAACUUCAUGAACAUAUACUUUAUAAACAUAAAAUGCGUGUAUUUAUGACUGCUGAUCGGUCCCUUAAGUCUUGUCCUCACUGCCAGUGGCCCUUCCAGCCAUCGUGACAACCCUGGGGAGGCUCCAUCCUCUAGAGCUUUUCCAGAUUAUCAGAGUUUAAACUCAAGGAGCCAAAAUGUUGAGCUUUUUACUGUAUUUUGAACUUUAGUGUAAGUAAAAUUAUAUCCCAAAUUGUAGUCCUCCCAUCCAUCAAAUUUCCCAGUCUUCAUCAGAGGAGAAGUUUCUCCUUUCUCCUGCCCCCUUUAGGGCCUCAGCUCCACCCAUCCACCCCUGCCAGCCUUGAGUCUGUUCAGACCUGGGAAGCAAAACCCAUAGUUUCCAUCAUAGGAGCACUGUGCACAGAAAAUACCUUUCCUUGAGGCUGGGCCAGCUCAUCUUCCGAGUAGCAUUGUUCUGAGGUCUGUUUGUUCCUAGAAACAAGGUUUAAAAGAUGCUACAUUUCACUUUAUGUUAACUGCCUUGACUCGAUCAUCAAGCAGAGAACUUAAGUCAAUUGUGGGCAAGCACAUUUGCAGAGUCAUCAGUGGUCAGACAUCAGCGGGGGGCAAACGGUGGUGCCUCGUGGCUCUUGCCUGAGUCGGAUGUUUCUCAGAAGCAUAUGCUCCAUUUUAUGUCAAAGGAACUUUUCCACUCUUUUCUUUCUCAAGGACCGUAUCAUUGAUGCUGGCCCAAAGGGAAAUUAUUCUCGCUUUAUGAACCACAGUUGUAACCCAAACUGUGAAACACAAAAGUGGACAGUGAAUGGCGAUGUUCGAGUUGGACUUUUUGCUCUUUGUGACAUUCCUGCAGGGAUGGAGUUAACAUUUAAUUACAACCUGGACUGUCUGGGCAAUGGCAGGACGGAGUGCCACUGCGGGGCUGAGAACUGCAGUGGUUUCCUCGGUGUUCGGCCGAAGUCGGCAUGUGCAUCAACAACUGAAGAAAAGGCAAAAAAUGCUAAGUUAAAGCAGAAGAGACGGAAAGUCAAAACAGAGCCCAAGCAGCUGCACGAAGAUUACUGUUUCCAGUGUGGAGACGGUGGAGAGCUGGUCAUGUGCGACAGGAAGGACUGCCCCAAAGCCUACCACCUCCUCUGCCUUAACCUCCCUCAGCCGCCCUACGGAAAGUGGGAGUGCCCGUGGCACCAGUGCGACGAGUGCAGCAGCGCAGCUGUCUCCUUCUGCGAGUUCUGCCCGCGCUCAUUCUGUAAAGAUCACGACAAGGGGGCGCUGGUGCCCUCGGCACUGGAAGGCCGACUCUGCUGCUCUGAACAUGACCCUGUGUCUCCCGUGUCGCCGGAGUACUGGAGCAAGAUCAAGUGUAAACUGGAAUCGCAAGAUCCCGGAGAAGACGUCAAAGAAUAGAUGGCUGGUGAUCCUCCUUUUUUUUCUUUUUCUUUAAGUGAAAAAAGGAAAAGAAAAAAGUAAGUAGAUGAUGCGUCAGUGCAAGAAGAGACUGCGAAGCGCACACAGCCCCUGUGGCCGCGCUGCCUGAUUAAAGCGAAACUGGGGGACCAGUUGGUGCAGACAGAGGCCGUUGGCGGUGUCUGGCUUUCCAGUUCUGUUCUGUUGGUUUGGGGGAUUCUUUUGUGGUGGGUUAGAUGCCCGUGGUCUUUUCUUGCCUUUUAUUGUGCUUCAAUGCCUUUGCAGCUAGAAAAAAGAGAUGUCUUGGCUUUUGAAAUAAGAACAAAGAGAAAAGAAAGUUUUGUUAAUGAGAUAAAUCUAAAGUCUAGGAUGUAUUCCUUGGGUGUAAAAGGCAAAAGUAGCCAUCAUUCCUUUAUUUAUUUUCAUUGUUUAAAAUUUUGAGAAGUACAGUUCAGAGUCUAAUCAGUGUGAGCACACGUGUGUGUGUGUGUGUGUGUGUGUGUGUUUGCAGUAGGAACUGGAGAAUGCCCUCUAGGAAAGGGUAUGACGCUCUCCUCUGCCUCUUUCCUGAGCAGCAGGCAGGCGAGCUUCUCUCUCCCUUCCAAGUGUCUUUCUCAGUCUCAGAGAAGGGCUCGUGGGAGCUUGGAGUCUGGCCUCUGAGAACAAAAGGCCUUGGUGGAUGUUCCCUCCAUGGUCUUAAACCAGGUGGGCUUUGUGAUAGGAUAACUUUACCUUGAAAGGUAUAUAAUGUGGUUUUGUUUUUUCGUUUGUUUGUUUUGGAGAAAACAAAAGAAAUGGAUGCCCUCACUGAGUUUGAAAUGCUUUCCCAUCGAUGAUGGCUAUUAUUGAUGAAGUGUGUUUAUGUGGAUAUGAAUGCAUAGUUAGAAUGGUCAUUCCUGUUAUUUUGACACACUGGUAAGGGCAGCUAAAGGGAGACAAAAGGCAUAGACCAAAAGUUGCAUCAAAUAAGCACCAUUUUCUAUCGAAUUUAACGUAGACCCUGGUCUGACUCGAGAGAAUUAUGGGCAUUUUAUUUUCUGUCUCUGCUUUCCUCUCCCAAUCAAACAUUCCUUUUGUCAGCUGACCACUCAGCCAUGUUUCAUGGUGAAAACUACACAAAUGAAUUUGAAUUAUAUUUGAAUAGAUUUUUAGUUCCUAAUUUGGGGGGGAAUAUCCCCAAGUUGUAUGUAAGCAGUUUCUAUUUAGUUUUACCCAGCACUUAAAAUUGCCCCCUUUGAGGAAGGGGAAGCACUUCUACUGGGACAGGGCAUGGGAGAGCCACACUUCAUGGCAGCAGCACUUCGGGAAAGCUCCCCAGAAAGCAGAACCGGUUGGAUGGCACAGGGGCGAGAGGACCAAGAUGCCUGCCCACAGGGCUCACUUGUUUUCAGUGCUUAGGAGCGUGUAGAUUCCAGAGUUCCCCGUGUAAACUCAUUAGUGGUGUCUGGUGUCGUUGUCACACUGUACUAAGUAGCAGCCUAGGGUUAGCUUGGUGAAUGUUAAUUUUCUCUGUGAAUUUUGACUGCUUACAGCCGCUGGUACCUGGUAGCAUUUAUUUUCCCUCAGGAAGAACCCAGUAACCACAUAAAGGUCGGGAAGAUAGAUGCCCCACCACAUUCCCUGUGUCACGUGUGCUCCCUUUUCUUACCAAUUUAGAGCUCUUUUCUGGAAAAAGGGGGAAAAAAUCUGUUUUGUGCCUCUUCUUCUUUUUUUAAUUUGUAUGUAUGUAAAUGUGCAAUUAUACUGGAUUCUUUUUCUUGUUAAAAAAAAAAAAAAAACAAAACAUACAAAAAAAAAAAAAAAAAACAGCAACAACAAAACACUACAAUUCCUUUACUUAAAGCUCCUAAACUGCCAUUUGCCUGAUUCCAGCAAAUAAUUCUGAGGUAACUUACUGGACCUCCAAUGAGUCUAUUGAUUAGAUAUGGUACCAAAAGAAAGGGCAAAAUAGAAAAUGCUAGUAUGCCUGUUACCAAACGUGACUGCCGCAAGCUCACCAAAACACUAAACUUUGCUCUUGAGCAAUUACAUAGUUUCAAGUCCUUUUAAAAAAUAAUUUAAGAAAUUCUAGGUUUUAUCAUACUAAAAAUUUAUUUUAUAUAUGUAUAUGAUAAAUGUUUGCUUUUUUAAACUUACUAACAUGAAGGAUUUCCUUUAAUAUUUGAACUGCAACUCUUGUUGAAACAGUAUCCAACAUGAAAUCUUAUCUCUUGCUUUGUUUUGGACUUAGUGCUAUUUAAUAUCUGAUGACUUUUAUAUGGUAAGCCAGGGUAUAUCCUCUAGACUACAGAUACCUUAGGUUUAAGUACUUUGAUGCAGCUUCUUCAUUGUGUCACAUUUUGUUUUUAUAUCUGUCACAGAGCUCUGCUGAGAUUUAAGAAAAAUUUUUUUGUGGGGGAAGGGGGGUAUUAGGAUUGUUCUGCCAAUUCAGAAAUCAGGGUGGAAAACAAAAUGUCUAACUGUAGCUCUGGAGUCUUUGUCUGUGAGUGCUCUUUAAUGGUCUGGAAAGGGGGUCAUGGCCAUGCCUGGGCCAAGGAGCUCUCCUCACACCUCCGUGGUGUCACUGUGGACCUAGUUUGUGUGUUUUAAAGCUUCAGGUAUGGCAGCAGAGAAGCAGUGAGCUGUGCUUUCCGCGUGCAUAGUACCUAUGCAGCAUGCUUGCCGGUGCUCCUCCGAUGAAACCCUGCAGAGGUCCUGGCGCUCACUCGUAGUCUGAGGUGAUUUGUUAACUUGAAUCUGUAUGGGGUCAGAGCAUAAAUGGUUGGUUUUUAUGGUGUCUGAAAAUGAAAUAACUGAAAGAAGCAUGGGAUAAUGGUGUUGGGUUUUGUUUUUUAUGUUGAUUCUUAGGGGGCGAAAAGCAGAUGUAAAAUGUUUGAUAAUCAGCUCAAGAAAUUAGAUCUGUAAGAGCUAAAGGUGAAAUCCUAGGAGACCUCCGGGCCCUGGUGGUGGGAGGGUGGUUUGGAGUUGCCCGGCUGGCUGAGGGGCCGGUGGCCCUUCAGUCCUGGAAGCCGAAGCCCGAGGAAGCCCAUCACUUCCUGAAUAGCUAAGCAGGGCUGGAGGGAGGAAUGAGGUGGGUUUUAUUUUCAUUUUUCUUUUAUCAAGUUCCCACCCUAUCCUAGCUCUGGCCUAAGCUAGAAAACAGGCUGACUCUGAGAAUCAUUGAAACUUGGAGAUUUCUGUGUGUUCAAGUCAGGAACACAUCUAAAAGCAAAACAAAAAAAAAGGUGGGGAGCAGGAGGCUGCUCCCAGCUCCCUGCAGCCAUUUCCACAGAGUGUUGGAAAUGCCUGUGAGUGGCGGGGUGCAACUGAGAUGAUUGCCAGAAGGACCCAGACAGGCGGGGCUGUCAGACAGCCUUCUUUCCUGGUUUGGGAAGUGGACUUUCCUCCUUGAGUAGCUCCAGUCAGGGUCAGAUCCGGGUCUGCAGUUUGGAAACGGGCCAGCUGGGUGGGACACGGUCUCGGGACCACGGGGGACUUGUUGUUUGUCCUUCGUCGCAUUUUAAACAUAAAGCUCUUUAUAGCAGUCACCUUACAGUCAAGGUGCUGCCGCAUGCCUUGUCCUGCCAGGAUGAGAGCCAGUCACCACGGAGUCCUUACAGCUGGGACAGCUCACAUCUGUGAGGUACAGUGACACGGGGGAGUUGCUGUAUCGUUGGGCGGUGUGAAUUAGACUUGAAUGACUUCCUAAAAGGCUGAUCUGUCUAGGCCGCUAGUUGUCCCGGCUGCCGCAGAUGUGAUCAUUUGCUUUGGCCUUGGGCCACCUUGAAUCCGUCUUGGGUUAUUUGUAAACAAGGAGUAGAACUCACUUCAUUUUCAGACAGGCUCGGGAAGAGAUGUAAUUAGACAGCUUUGCCAUGAAUUGACAAAUACGGAAGAGUUGGAAAUUGUAUAUACUGAAGUCUACCAGCUCUUAUCUGGGGUGGGGUUCAGGGAGAAGGGGGGUUAUGCGGGGGGGAGGGGGGGGCGGGGGGGAAUGAUGAUGUUUACCACAGGUACGAAGUCGUCACUUUAACAUUGAGACCUCUGCCUCAUUGAAUUCAGGUUUUUUAAGUACUUGAAACUCCUCAGAUUCUCCUUAUUUUACAGUUCUUUUAAAACUUAUGAAGUAGCGAGCAUUGUUUGUAUCCUGUUUUGUCUCUUACCCCCUCUGGCGUGGGUGAAAGGGGAGCCCCGCAGGCGGCUCACAGCACGGCCGGAUUCAGUGCACAUGCUUGGGGAAGAGGCUCCUGCAUGAAAUACCAGCAGCACUUACACAAGGAUUCCCUGUGUCUGUUCUUUCUUUUGUCAUUUUGUCAACCCUAUCCCCAAGCACCUUUUCUUUCCUUUUCAUUAUACGCCUGUGUAGGGAAAAAAACAGAAAUUUGCACUUAAUGUUACACUCCUGAAAUGCUGGGUGUGUGUAGCCUGUGUGUUUCAAGCCUAUUUCCGUUCUUUCCUCUUUCAGUCCAUUGCUUAAGUGACAAGUUCAGAUGCUUGUGGCACUUAAUGUAUGAAGGGGAGAGGAAGAGAAUUACCUUCCUUUGGUAGCCUCUCCAAGUCAUUAACAUGUAAGAAAAAAAGGGAAAAGAUGAAUAGUUGCCAAAGUCAUUUCUUCGGUCCUUAGUUUGCCUGUGUGGCAUCAGUGCAUCUGCUCAUUGGCCAGAAAGCGCCCUGGGGCCCGAGCUCCUAUCCCGACCUCCACAGAGCUCCGCUGUGUGCGGGUGGCUCUCCGUAUCCAGCAGAUUACCUCGGUGAGGGAUUUAUGUGGUAUCCUUGACAGUUUAGAAGUGGACUGGAUAAAAUUCACUUUUACUUUGUUGUCACUAAUACUGCUCUUUAUCUCAUUGUGCUGUCACAUACCCUUUGUCAAAAAAGAAAAUCACAUUGCCACCAAUAACCACGAUGCUAAGUGAAGAUUAUAACUGGCUAAUAAGGUUCUUUUUAUAUACAAGGGUGUGUGCAAAAUUGGAAUUGAUAUGAGAAAUUCAUUUGUAUCCACUUGUGAUAUUGCACAACAAACACAGAUACCUACAGAUUCUGUUUUCAUUUCCUCGUGAUCUUUAUCUAUAAUGACCUUUGUAGAUUGGUUAUUUCUGUACUUUAUCUGUAAUAAACUUUGUAGAUCCUGUGAAAUGUUAUUUUGCCUAAAUCACUUGAGACUUGAGUCUUUAAUAACAAAGCAUCAAUAUUCACUAAAGUCAAUCUCUUUUGAGUUUCUGUGACUUGGCUAGAAGCUCCUGACACUAAGGGAUUGGUGUUCAUUCUCCCUGGGGGGUUCACUAGGGCAUUACUGUAUAAUGACUUGAUGUUGCCACAUAGACUUCAAGAUAUAUGAUAUUUUGGGGAUUUUGUUGAUUGGCCUAUGUUUUAUUGCAUAGUGUGAAAUGUGUAAAGCUUGGUUAACCUGUAUAUAGAUAGCUUAUUGUUGACCAGUUAUAGUAUAUUUAGGAUUGCUUGUAAUAUUUAAGCUUCUUACUACUGUGCGUGCUGGUAGGAACAUAUAAUUUUUGUAUAUUUACUGAGAUGUUGCCCUUUUUUAUUUUACAAAUACUUUGGAAUUCAAAUGUGUUUUUUGCUUCCGUGAGGAUUAAUUUGGAAAGGUUUUUAAUGACAUUCCACUGAUUUCAGAUUUUGCUUGGAGACCGACUUAAAUAAAUUGUCCUGUAUGUUCCAAAUUAAA
Sus scrofa (pig) is the source of this 14024-nucleotide non-coding RNA. Lineage: Eukaryota; Metazoa; Chordata; Mammalia; Artiodactyla; Suidae. The record is from RefSeq and is a predicted model, not a curated record.